UAAGGCGCUCAUCAAACAUGCCAUACUGGAGAACGACUUCAUGAAGAACCUGCAGAAUGACCAGAUCCAGGAGAUCGUCGAGUGCAUGUACCCGGUGGAAUACAAGCGUACCUCGCUCAUCAUCAAGGAGGGCGACAUCGGCAGUGUCCUGUUCGUACUCGAAGAGGGUCAGGCGGAGGUG
Molecule: long non-coding RNA, 181 nt
Organism: Pollicipes pollicipes
Lineage: Eukaryota; Metazoa; Arthropoda; Thecostraca; Pollicipedomorpha; Pollicipedidae
Exons: 3
Source: RefSeq, a predicted model, not a curated record